GGCUCAGAUGAAACGCCGCGGGCAUGCUUUACACAUGCAAGUCGAACGGCAGCACGGGGGCAACCCUGGUGGCGAGUGGCGAACGGGUGAGUAAUGUAUCGGAACAUAUCCGGAAGUGGGGGAUAACGUAGCGAAAGUUACGCUAAUACCGCAUAUGCCCUGAGGGGGAAAGGAGGGGAUCGUAAGACCUUUCGCUUUCGGAGUGGCCGAUAUCAGAUUAGCUAGUUGGUGAGGUAAAGGCUCACCAAGGCGACGAUCUGUAGCUGGUCUGAGAGGACGACCAGCCACACUGGGACUGAGACACGGCCCAGACUCCUACGGGAGGCAGCAGUGGGGAAUUUUGGACAAUGGGCGAAAGCCUGAUCCAGCCAUGCCGCGUGAGUGAAGAAGGCCUUCGGGUUGUAAAGCUCUUUCGGACAGAAAGAAAUCGCACUUACUAAUACUAGGUGUGGAUGACGGUACUGUAAGAAGAAGCACCGGCUAACUACGUGCCAGCAGCCGCGGUAAUACGUAGGGUGCGAGCGUUAAUCGGAAUUACUGGGCGUAAAGCGUGCGCAGGCGGUUUUGUAAGACAGGUGUGAAAUCCCCGGGCUUAACCUGGGAACUGCAUUUGUGACUGCAAGGCUAGAGUAUGGCAGAGGGGGGUAGAAUUCCACGUGUAGCAGUGAAAUGCGUAGAGAUGUGGAGGAAUACCGAUGGCGAAGGCAGCCCCCUGGGUCAAUACUGACGCUCAUGCACGAAAGCGUGGGGAGCAAACAGGAUUAGAUACCCUGGUAGUCCACGCCCUAAACGAUGUCAACUAGGUGUUGGGGGAGGAGACUUCCUUAGUACCGCAGCUAACGCGUGAAGUUGACCGCCUGGGGAGUACGGCCGNCAGGGUGAAACU
RNAcentral lists this ribosomal RNA (886 nucleotides) under uncultured bacterium. Its description in RNAcentral is "bacterial SSU rRNA". It matches the Rfam family "Bacterial small subunit ribosomal RNA", at positions 21 to 901 of the family's 1533-position model. The record is from RNAcentral.